UAGGGAAUCUUCGGCAAUGGACGAAAGUCUGACCGAGCGACGCCGCGUGAGUGAAGAAGGUUUUCGGAUCGUAAAACUCUGUUGUUAGAGAAGAACAAGGACGUUAGUAACUGAACGUCCCCUGACGGUAUCUAACCAGAAAGCCACGGCUAACUACGUGCCAGCAGCCGCGGUAAUACGUAGGUGGCAAGCGUUGUCCGGAUUUAUUGGGCGUAAAGCGAGCGCAGGCGGUUUCUUAAGUCUGAUGUGAAAGCCCCCGGCUCAACCGGGGAGGGUCAUUGGAAACUGGGAGACUUGAGUGCAGAAGAGGAGAGUGGAAUUCCAUGUGUAGCGGUGAAAUGCGUAGAUAUAUGGAGGAACACCAGUGGCGAAGGCGGCUCUCUGGUCUGUAACGGACGCUGAGGCUCGAAAGCGUGGGGAGCAAACAGG
RNAcentral lists this ribosomal RNA (429 nucleotides) under Gemmatimonadota bacterium. RNAcentral describes it as "Gemmatimonadetes bacterium partial 16S ribosomal RNA". It matches the Rfam family "Bacterial small subunit ribosomal RNA", at positions 355 to 776 of the family's 1533-position model. The record is from RNAcentral. Lineage: Bacteria; Pseudomonadati; Gemmatimonadota.